RNAcentral lists this ribosomal RNA (513 nucleotides) under Cicadetta pellosoma. RNAcentral describes it as "partial 16S ribosomal RNA". It matches the Rfam family "Archaeal large subunit ribosomal RNA", at positions 1908 to 2666 of the family's 2987-position model. RNAcentral also lists the same sequence under 2 other names. Lineage: Eukaryota; Metazoa; Arthropoda; Insecta; Hemiptera; Cicadidae. The record is from RNAcentral.
GUCUUUUAGAAAGAAUUAAAAGUCUAAUCUGCCCAAUGAUUAAUAAUUUAAUGGCCGCGGUAAAUUGACCGUGCAAAGGUAGCAUAAUAAAUAGUCUUUUAAUUGAAGGCUUGAAUGAAUGAUUGAAUGAAAAAUUAACUUAAUUGAUUUUAGUAAUUGAAAUUAAUUUUUAAGUAAAAAAGCUUAAAUAUUUGAGUGGGACGAGAAGACCCUAUAGAAUUUUUAAAAUCUUUUAUAUUUUAUUUUAUUUAGUUAAUUAAUUUUUUUUAUUUAACUGGUUUUUUUGUUGGGGUGACAUUAAAAUAAAAUAAACUUUUAAUAAAAAUUUCAUGAAUACGUGUAAAUAUUGAUCCAAGUUUUUGAUUAUAAGAAUAAAUUACCUUAGGGAUAACAGCGUAAUAAAUUUGAAGAGUUCAAAUCGAUAAAUAUGAUUGCGACCUCGAUGUUGGAUUAAGAAUAGAAAUUGGAGCAAAAUCUAUUUACUUCUGGGUCUGUUCGACCCUUGAUAUUCUU